UCAUAGUUGAAAGUAAAUUUAUUUUCAAACUAAUAUAUAUGUGUGUGUGUGUGUGUGUGUGUGUGUGUGUGUGUAUAAUAUAUAUGUAUAUAUUCUCCUGUCUUCUCCCAAUAACCUUUCACGCCCUGACUAAUCAAGAACCUAUCAACCUCCAUUUUAAAUACAUCCAUUGACUUGGUCUCCACAGCUCUCUCAGGCAUUGUAUUUUACAGAUUCACCACAACAUGGCUAAAUAAAUUCUUCUUUAUCUCUAUUCUAAAGGGACAUCCUUCUGUCCCGAGGCUAGAUUCUCCCACUGUGGGAAACAUCCUCUCCAUACCCACUCUAGCUCAGGCUUUCGGGUCAAGCCACCAGUAUAUCGGCACAUGGUCAGAUAAAUAUCAAUUGCCACAGUGACUUUCUACAUCAGGCUGGCAGUGUGCAGGGAGGAAGGGUUUCCACACACAAAGACUGCUGUUGGAAAUGCUCACCAUUGCUGUUUUGCAAAAUGCUUUGCUAGCAAUUACCUGAUGGAGUCAAAGCCAAUAUCAGAAUUAGGUUUAUAGUCAAUGUUCUGGGCCGAGACCCUUCAUCAGGACUGGAAAGGAAGGGGAAAGAUGGUGGGGGAGAGGGGUCAACACCUGAGAGUCUCUUGUGUUCUUUGUUGAUUCUAUUGUAUUUCUUUGUUCCACAGUGAAUGUUUGCAAAGAAUAAAAUAGUGGCGGAGGUCGGCAAUGGCUCAGCCUAAAAUGUCGACCGUUUAUUCCCCUCCAUAGAUGAUGCCUGACCUGCUGCGUACCUGCAGCACUUUGUGUGAAUUAUUCUGGAUUUCCAACAUCUGCAGAAUCUCUUGUGUGUGUGUUAUCACUGAGAUAUGUCAUGAAAUGUGUUAUUUAGCAGCAGAAAUACAGUUCAAGACAUAAGAAUUAGUGUAAGUUACAAAAAAAAGUAGUGCAAAAGAGGAAUGGUGAGGUAAGUCACAAAGACAAGGAAGUCUGCAGACACUGGAAAUUUUAGAGUCCUGCUGAAGGGCCUCGGCCUGAAACGUCAACCCUUUACUCGUUUCCAUAGAUGCUGCCUGACCUGCUGAGUUCCUCCAGCAUUUUGUAAUGGUGUCCGGUGUGCAUGACGAAGCCGGUGGAGUUGAUCGCCCUCUGGGGCUUUCUUCAAUCCUCAGCAGUGGCUCCUCCACUCCAGAUGCUGAUGCAAGCAGUCAGAAUGUUCUCCACGAGAUACAGCACAGUAACACACCCUCCUGGCCCAACAAGCCCGCACCACCGAGUAUACCCAUGUGACCAAUUAACCCCCUACAUCUUCGAAAUGUGGGAGGAAACUGGAGCUCCCAGAGGAAUCCCACAUGGAAAGUACAAACUCUGUAGACAGGCUGAGUCAGCAGUAGGGAAGGUAAUUGCAAUCUAAUCCUCGAUUUCAAGAGGGCUAGAACAUAAAAGCAAGGUUGUAAUACUUCAUAAGGCAUUGGCCGGUCUGCACUUGGAUUAUUGUGAGCUGGUUUGUGUCCUUGUCUGAGAAAAGAGGUGCUGGCACUGGAGGUGGUUCAGAGGAGAAUGACCCUAGCAAUGAAAGGCUAUGAGGAGCGUUUGACAGCUCUGGACCUGUGCUUGCUGGAGUUUGGAAGAAUGUGAAGAGAUCUCAUUGAAACCUAUCGAAUAUUGAAAGAAUAUUGAAAUAUGGCGGGAGGAGAAGAUGGCACGACGCAAGCUUGCAGCGGCCACUCCGGUGAUGAUAUCUGUUAUCUGUCAAGUAGGGUGCCGUGCACUAUCCUGAUUUGAUGGAGACACGGAGAAGCAUCUGUGAAACUUCUGAAAUGCCUCCUUCGUUGCCAUUGCUGCUGUGUGAUCCAGAAUCUCCAGAGAAGGCCCCGAGUCCUCGGCUCUGCUUGUUGCUCAGUGGCCGGGGCGGGAUGGAAGCGCUCGGCAGAGAUGGUGCUCAGUGUUGGAGGUCUGGUUGGAGGCUUGAAGUUUUCGGGCGGACUCAGAGUCCGCUGCAGUCAGGUGUUUCCAAUGCAUCAGCAAGUUUAUGGCGCUUGGAGUUCAUGGCAGGGAGAGUUACUCCCUUCUACCGUCUGCGUGAGAUGAUGGGCUAUCGGGACUUGAGACUUUUUUUUACUGUGCCCAUGGUCUGCUCUUUAUCAAAUUACGGUAUUGUUUUGCACUGUUGUAACUAUAUGUUAUAAUUAUGUGGUUUUGUCAGUUUUAGUCUUGGUUUGUCCUGUGUUUUCUUGUGAUAUGUUUCUGGAGGAACAUUGUAUCAUUUUUUAACACGUGCAUUUCUAAAUGACAAUAAACGAGGACUGAGUGUCCUCAUAAUCUAAUAACCUAGAUAGAGUGAAUGUGGGGAGGACGAUUCCUGUGGCGGGUGAGUCUAGGACCAGAGGGCACAGCCUCAUAAUACAAGGAACAUCCCUUUAGAACAGAGGUGAGGAGGACUUUCUUUCCCUGGAGAGUGGUGAAUCUGUGGAGGCCAAGGCAUUGGGUAUACUUAAAGCAAAAGUUGAUAGGUUUUUGAUUAGUGAGGGUGUCAAUGAUUAUGGGGAGAAGGGGAUUGAGAAGAAUAACAAAACAGCCAUGAUAGAAUGACGGAGCAGACUUGAUGGGCAGUCUCCCAUUUGUUACAGUCAAUAAUAUGUGCAAUUCACGUUCUUGCGUCUCUCUGUUGCAAGUUGCCCUGCAGGUCCUCCAUGGAGAUGUGCUCUGCACCUACUUGCCCAGUUUACUCUAACAGCCCCUCCCUAACCCACAAGCACCAAAUACAAAUGCAGCUGCAAAGAAAUUAUAAAAUGCUGUUUUUGUUCACAGUCACACACCAGCCAGGCUUUAAAACUAGAGCACUCCUACCACUCUGUGUGUUAAAUAAAACUGCCUCUGACAUCCAUCCUGUCCCACACGCUCAUCCAAUCACCGUCUGCAGAUGCUGGAAAUCCAGAGUAAUAGACGCAACUUGCUGGAGGAACUCGGCAGGUCAGGCAGCAUCUAUGGAGGGGAAUAAACUGUUGACGUUUCAGGCCGAGACCCUUCAUCAAGACUACACUAACAAAAAGACAAGAGAUUCUGCGGGUGCUGGAAAUCCAGAGCAACACACACAAACUGCUGGAGGAAUUUAGCAGGUCGGGCAGCAUCUAUAGAGGGGAAUAAACGGUUAACGUUUCGGGCCGAGAUCCUUCAUCAGGACUGGAAGAUAGUGGGGCAGAAUCCGGAAUAAGAAUGGGUUAGGGAGGAGUACAAACUGACGGGCAAUAGCUGAAACAACACACAAAAUGCAGGAGGAACUCUACUCUCUGAGCAUUAUCUUGUUCUUCUUCCUUUACUCGGUCUGUAUGUUUAUCUGUCUGUCUUAUUAUAAUUAUUGGCACAGUUUUUCCUCUUUUGCAUAAUGGAAGUUUGGCGGUCUUUGUUGUGUGUUUUUCCCCCGGAUUUUUAUUGUAUUUCUUU
Long non-coding RNA from Mobula hypostoma (lesser devil ray), 3428 nucleotides. RefSeq lists it as uncharacterized. The record is from RefSeq and is a predicted model, not a curated record. NCBI's taxonomy places the organism in Eukaryota, Metazoa, Chordata, Chondrichthyes, Myliobatiformes, Myliobatidae. The transcript has 3 exons.